AGUGAACGCUGGCGGUAGGCCUAACACAUGCAAGUCGAACGGCAGCACAGUAAUAGCUUGCUCUUACGGGUGGCGAGUGGCGGACGGGUGAGGAACACAUCGGAAUCUACUUUUUCGUGGGGGAUAACGUAGGGAAACUUACGCUAAUACCGCAUACGACCUACGGGUGAAAGCAGGGGAUCUUCGGACCUUGCGCGAUUGAAUGAGCCGAUGUCGGAUUAGCUAGUUGGCGGGGUAAAGGCCCACCAAGGCGACGAUCCGUAGCUGGUCUGAGAGGAUGAUCAGCCACACUGGAACUGAGACACGGUCCAGACUCCUACGGGAGGCAGCAGUGGGGAAUAUUGGACAAUGGGCGCAAGCCUGAUCCAGCCAUACCGCGUGGGUGAAGAAGGCCUUCGGGUUGUAAAGCCCUUUUGUUGGGAAAGAAAAGCAGCAGGUUAAUACCCCGCUGUUCUGACGGUACCCAAAGAAUAAGCACCGGCUAACUUCGUG
This 492-nucleotide ribosomal RNA is filed under the name uncultured bacterium. Its description in RNAcentral is "partial 16S ribosomal RNA". It matches the Rfam family "Bacterial small subunit ribosomal RNA", at positions 29 to 507 of the family's 1533-position model. The record is from RNAcentral.